GGGACACGUGAAACCCUGUGGGAAGCAGGAGGGACCACCCUCCAAGGCUAAAUACUACCUAGUGACCGAUAGCGUAUAGUACCGUGAGGGAAAGGUGAAAAGAACCCCGGGAGGGGAGUGAAAUAGAACCUGAAACCCUGCACUUACAAGCUGUGGAAGCACAUUUCUUGUGUGACCGCGUACUUUUUGUAGAACGGGCCAACGAGUUACGUUAAGUAGCAAGGUUAAGCACUUAAGGUGCGGAGCCGUAGCGAAAGCGAGUUUUAACUGAGCGUUCAGUUACUUGACGUAGACCCGAAACCGGGCGACCUACCCAUGAGCAGGAUGAAGCGAAAGUAAAAUUUCGUGGAGGUCCGAACCCACGAGCGUUGAAAAGCUCGGGGAUGACUUGUGGGUAGCGGUGAAAUUCCAAUCGAGCCCGGAGAUAGCUGGUUCUCCCCGAAAUAGCUUUAGGGCUAGCCUCAAGGUGAGAGAUACGGAGGUAGAGCACUGAAUGUCCUAGGGGGUAUUGCACCUACCGAAGACUAUCAAACUCCGAAUGCCGUCAUCUUAUACUUGGGAGUCAGACUGUGGGUGAUAAGAUUCAUAGUCGAAAGGGCAACAGCCCAGAUCGUCAGCUAAGGUCCCUAAAUGUAAGUUAAGUGGUAAAGGAUGUGGGAUUGCACAGACAACCAGGAUGUUGGCUUAGAAGCAGCCACUCAUUCAAAGAGUGCGUAAUAGCUCACUGGUCGAGUGAUCCUGCGCCGAAGAUUUCCGGGGCUAAAACUUACUACCGAAGCUACGGCAUCAGUAAUGAUGGGUAGGGGAGCUUCCCAUACGGGUUGAAGCAUGACCGUAAGGACAUGUGGACAGUAUGGGAGUGAGAAUGUUGGCAUGAGUAGCGAGAUGUGGGUGAGAAUCCCACAGGCCGUAAACCCAAGGUUUCCAGGGGAAGGUUCGUCCGCCCUGGGUUAGUCGGGACCUAAGCUGAGGCCGAAAGGCGUAGGUGAUGGACAACAGGUUGAUAUUCCUGUACUACCGAUAACCGUUUGAGAGAAGGGAUGACACAGUAGGAUAAGCUAAGCACACUGUUGGUUAUGUGUGCCCAAGCAUUGAGGCAGUCAAAGUAGGCAAAUCCGCUUUGAUAAUGCUGGGAUGUGAUGGGGAGCGAAAUUUAGUAGCGAAGUAGCUGAUUUCACACUGUCAAGAAAAGUCUCUAUCGAGGUUAAAGGUACCCGUACCGCAAACCGACACAGGUGGGUGAGGAGAGUAUCCUAAGGCCAGCGAGAGAACUGUUGUUAAGGAACUCGGCAAAAUGACCCCGUAACUUAGGGAUAAGGGGUGCCACCAUCAGGUGGCCGCAGAGAAUAGGCCCAAGCGACUGUUUACCAAAAACAUAGGUUUCUGCUAAGUCGCAAGACGAUGUAUAGGAGCUGACGCCUGCCCGGUGCUGGAAGGUUAAGGGGAUCUGUUAGAGCAAUCGAAGCAGUGAACUUAAGCCCCAGUAAACGGCGGCCGUAACUAUAACGGUCCUAAGGUAGCGAAAUUCCUUGUCGGGUAAGUUCCGACCCGCACGAAAGGCGUAACGAUUUGGGCACUGUCUCAACAACAGACUCGGUGAAAUUGUAAUUCCGGUGAAGAUGCCGGAUACCUGCGACAGGACGGAAAGACCCCAUGGAGCUUUACUGUAGCUUGACAUUGGGUCUUGGUACUACAUGUACAGGAUAGGUGGGAGGCUUUGAAACCAGGACGCCAGUUUUGGCGGAGCCAUCCUUGGGAUACCACCCUUGUAGUACUGGGACUCUAACCAUAGGCCAUGAAUCUGGUCUUGGGACACUGUCAGGUGGGCAGUUUGACUGGGGCGGUCGCCUCCCAAAAGGUAACGGAGGCGCUCAAAGGUUCUCUCAGUACGGUCGGAAAUCGUACGUAGAGUGUAAAGGCAAAAGAGAGCUUGAUUGCAAGACAUACAGGUCGAGCAAGGAUGAAAAUCGGACUUAGUGAUCCGGUGGUUCUGCGUGGAAGGGCCAUCGCUCAACGGAUAAAAGCUACCCUGGGGAUAACAGGCUUAUCUCCCCCAAGAGUCCACAUCGACGGGGAGGUUUGGCACCUCGAUGUCGGCUCAUCACAUCCUGGGGCUGUAGUAGGUCCCAAGGGUUGGGCUGUUCGCCCAUUAAAGUGGUACGCGAGCUGGGUUCAGAACGUCGUGAGACAGUUCGGUCCCUAUCCGUCGCAGGCGUAGGAAAUUUGAGAAGACCUGUCCUUAGUAC
Molecule: ribosomal RNA, 2246 nt
Filed under: Clostridioides difficile
Lineage: Bacteria; Bacillati; Bacillota; Clostridia; Peptostreptococcales; Peptostreptococcaceae
Description: partial 23S ribosomal RNA
Rfam family: Bacterial large subunit ribosomal RNA
Source: RNAcentral